AAAACCUAUCUCCCCCUUUCCUUCUUUAGUUCCCUCUUUCACUCCACGGUGAUGAAAUUGAAGACUUCAAAAUCAUACAAAUGUGUGUUCAGCAGUUGAAGGAUAACGUGUGCGCAAAAUGGUAUUUGAUACUUUUCUAUCUUUUUUUGGAUGUUUACAGUAGUAAUUUUAGUUGUUGAUAACCUUAACAUUUUCUUUCUCUUUUUUGAUUAAAAAUCAAAUCUUUCUCAUUUGGGUGUUAUUAAUUUUGUUAAAUAGAAGCUCAAGCUUCCACUUUGUACUUUUUUUGUGGUAGAUGUUAGUUUUCUUGGGAUUUUUGAACGUAGAAAGAAACUUAUUUUCCUUUAUUUAUUUAUUUUUGUUUUUUAGAUGUUUGUUUUACUGCAUAACAUUUCUUUUAAGUCGAGGGGCUAUCGAAAAUCAACUCUGAAACACCACAAACAAAGUUAGGAGUUAUCCUUUCUAGAACUUUGGAAACUUAACUUUCUAUCUGGCUAAGAAACUACUCAAAGUUAUACCAAUAUGUAUAUAUAUUGGACAUCAUCCAUCCUCACCUCUGAAGAAGAAACUCGACAAGCAUCACCAAAUUUGGGAUUCGUUAGUUGAUAUUUAUUUCUAAGUUAUGUUAAGUGUUGAAUUUCCUUAGGAGAGGUUGAAUUAUUGAGUGGAAACUUACUUUCUGUCUGGUUAGUAGAGAUUUCUUGCUUUUUAAGAGAUUAGUCCAAGUAAGAACGAGAAGUAUAUUGGAUAUGUUCCGUUAUUAAGAAGAUGCAUCAUCCAAUUUGGGAUUCUUGAGUUGAUGUAAAUUUCGAAGUUAUGUUGUGUGUUAAAUUCUCCUAGGAGAGCUUGAUGUAUUGAGUGGAAACUUACUUUUUGUAUGGUUAGUAGGAAUUUCUUGUUUGCUAAGGGAUUUGUCUAAGUUAGACCGACAAGUAUUUAUAUGUUAGACAUGAUCUUUGAGUUUCUUCUUCACAUAUGCGGAAGGAUAAUGUCCAACAUAUAUACUUGUCCGUUUAACUAAGACUAAUCCCUUAAGCAAACAUAAAUUCGUACUAACUCUACAAAAAGUAAGUUUCCAUUCAAUACUUUAAGCUCGCUAAGAGAAUUCAACACACCAUAUAAAUUUGAGAUAAACAUCAACUCACGAAUCCCCGAUUGGGUGAUUCUUCUCGAGUUUCUUCUUCACAAAUGAGGAAGCAUCAUGUCUAACAUAUAUACUUCUCGGUCAAACUUGGACUCAUUCCUUAGCAGACAAAAAAUUUUAACUAGCUAGACAGAAAGUAGGUUUCCACUCAAUGCGUCAAGCUCACCCAAGGUAAUUUAACACACUACAUAACUUUGAAAUAAACAUCAAUCAAGAAUCCCAAAUUAGGUGAUGAUUCUUCGAGUUUCGUCUUCAUUUGCUCAAAUAAAUCGCAACUUAUCCAAAAGAGGAUAACUAUUUGAUAGUUUUUGAUUAGUUUUUCAUGUAAAAGUGUAUUUGUUUCAUUGAUUUUAUUCAAUUUAAUCUCAAGCAUUGUUACGGAUGGUAAUUGAGCGAAUUAUAUCAAUUUUAGUCAAUCAUAUUGUGUCAAGAUAACAAACGGUUCAAGAUCAAAUUCAAACUGAAUUAAUUGGAUCGGUAUGAAUUGAGCCAAAAAGGAGCAGAGAAUGAGUCAAGACCCAACUCAACUCAAUUUUCACCCAAUUUAAUUAAUUUAUUGGUUCUUUUAAAAUAUUUUAGUACACAAUAACAUUAGGAUAAAAUUAUUUUGUGGAUAUAUGUAAAGAAUUAUACUACACAACCUCCUACUUUUUCAUUAGCGACGACAAUGGGGUGGUGUAGGGCUGGGGCGAGUGUGUUGAGCAUAACCCACAAAUUUAUUAAUCCGCCCCGCCCCGCAUAGCAAAAAUUUUCAUAUUCAACCCUCCCUGCCCCACCCUACCCCACAUAAACCUGUCCCGUAUGAAUACGCCCUACAUUAUUUUUAUAAUAUUUUUUUUUCUUAGUUAUGUUUUAUACUUAAAAUAAAAUUCAUUCAAAAAUUCAUUUUUUCCUUAAGUUGUAUUAAUUAAAUAGGAUAGUGACUUUAAAUUUUAAUUUUUAGUGGUCAAUUGAGAAUCAUGCAAGAAAUUGUAUUAUUUUUUAUGAACCAUCGUCAUUUAUAUUAUUGAAUAUUUUAGUAGUUUUAAUGAAUUUAUCUUAAUAAAUAAUGUUCUGUCAUUCUAUCACAUGUAAGAAGUUAAAAUUAAGUUUGAACCCACAUAAAAUCACAUAUACGCGCAGCCCACCUUGACCCACAUUAAUUAAAAUGAAAUCCACUUCAAUUCACCCCGCUUCAGACAUGCCCCACAUAACCUUAAGCCCGCCCCGCCUCACAUACCCUUAAACCUAUCCUGCCCCGCAUCCGGUUCACCAUAUUGCCAUUCUUAUUUUUCAUGGUCGUCUAAAAACAAUGGUAAUCAAAUUAUUAAAUAUAAACGCCUUACAAUGUACAAACCAUUUAUGUUGAGAAAUUUAAAAUAUAUAUAUAAUCAAACAAAAAACACUCUUAUAUAUAUCAUCUAAAAUUUUUGUCAAGAAAAUUAAAAUGAAUAUACCUUCGCUCCUUCUAGAUUCGCCCUUGCAUAAAAGUGGCUAAAAUGCAGGAAUUUUGUGUCAAUAAUACUGAAUAGAUGAUAUCUCUUGGUAUUUUCUAUAUCUCUUAUAGAUUGAAAUGACAAUUUUUUUUUAAAAAAAAGAUCACAAAAUCCGAAAAUUGAAUUUGUAACUAACCUAUAAAAUGAAGUUUAACUAUUAUGAGGUGUUAAAUGUCACAUGCAAAAAAUAUUAAGAGGGCUGAAUUGGACAUAUCACAUCAAUUUUAAUCUCUUUUCCCAUAAAGUUAUGUGAUAUUUGUUUCUUUUUUUAAGUUAUUUCCAAAAUAAAGUCUUUUUAUAGUCCUAUAUUAAGUGUCCACUUUAUUAUAGAUAAUUAUUUCAAACAUUUGGAUCUCAUUUAUUAUUAAAAUUAUUACUUUUUUUAAUUUAUGUAAAUUAAUCAUGUUUGUAAACCUUCAGAAAAAUAUUUUUUAAUUAAAAUUAAUGAAAUUUAUCAUUUUUAUAAUGAGAAAAUAAAUAAUUAAAUUAAAAUAAAAAUUACAUAAUUUAUCUCUACAAUUUUAGUAAAUUUAUAAUCACAUAAAUCUAUAAGAUUUCUAUUACAUGUCACAUUUCAAUUUUCUGUUUUUUUUUAUUUUUUUAAUGUCGAAUGAAAAUGUAUCACGUAAUUUGAUACGGACAAAACAAUACAACUAAGGAACCAAUAUAAUUAAUUGCCCCCACCACCUACCCCACUCACCCCACUCCAUAUUACAAUUCUGUAAAUUUAAUUUAAGUAGAAAACCUAUCUCCCCCUUUCCUUCUUUAGUUCCAUCUUUCACUCCGUGGUGAUGAAAUUAAAGACUUCAAAAUCAUAAAAAAUUGUGUUCAGUAGUUGAAGGAUAACGUGUGCGCAAAAUGGUAUUUGAUAUUUUUCUAACUUUUUUUGGAUGUUUACAGUAGUAAUUUUAGUUUUUGAUAAGCUUAAAAUUAGCUUUCUCUUUCUCAUUUGGGUGUCGUUAAUUUUGUGAAAUAGAUGCCCGAUCUUCCACUUUGUACUUUGUUUUGUGGUAGAUGUUAGUUUUCUUGGGAUUUUGAAACGUAGAAAGAACCCUAUUUUCCUUUUUUUUAAUUAUUUUUGUUUUUUAGAUGUUGGUUUUACUGCAUAGCAUUUCUUUUAAGUCGAGGGGCUAUCGAAAAUCAACUCUGAAACACCAUAAACAAAGUUAGGAGUAAACUGUUGUGUACAAGUUAUUCUUUCUAGAACAUUGGAAACAUAACUUUCUGUCUUGCUACGGAACUAGUCCAUGUUAUACAAAUAUGUAUAUAUAUUGGACAUUAUCCUUCCUCACCUAUGAACAAGAAACUCGAGAAGCAUCACCUAAUUUGGAAUUCGUGAGUUGAUAUUUAUUUCAAAGUUAUGUUAUAUGUUAAAUUUCCCUAGGAGAGGUUUAAACAUUGAGUGGAAACUUACUUUUUGUCUGGUUAGUAGACAUUUCUUGCUUGUUAACAGAUUAGUCCAAGUAAGAACGACAAGUAUGUUGGACAUGUUCCUUAAUUAAGACGAUACAUCAUCCAAUUUGGGAUUCUUGAGUUGAUGUAAAUUUCGAACUUAUGUUGUGUGAUUAAUUCUCCUAGGCGAUCUUGAAGUAUUGAAUGGAAACUUACUUUUUGUAUGGUUUGUAGGAAUUUCUUGUUUGCUAAGGGAUUUGUCUAAGUUAGACCGACAAUUAUAUAUAUGUUGGACAUGAUCUUUGAGUUUCUUCUUCAUUGAUGAGGAAGGAUAAUGUAACAUAUAUACUUGUCCAUUUAACUAAGACUAAUCCCUUAAGCAAACAAAAUUCCUACUAACUAUAGAAAAAGUAAGUUUUCGUUCAAUACUUUAAGCUCGCCAAAAGAAAUCAACACACCACAUAACUUCGAGAUAAGCAUCAACUCACGAAUCCCUAAUUGGGAGAUUCUUCUCGAUUUUCUUUUUCACAAAUGAGGAAGCAUCAUGUCUAACAUAUAAACUUCUCAGUCUAACUUAGACUAAUUCCUUAAGAGACAAGAAAUUUCUACAAGCUAGACAGAAAGUAAGUUUCCACUCAAUGUGGUAAGUUCACCCAAUAAAUUUUAACACACAACAUAACUUCGAAAUAAACAUCAAUCAAGAAUCCAAUAUAGAGUGCUGAUUCUUCGAGUUUCGUCUUCAUUUGCUCAAAUAAAUCGCGAUUUAUCAAAAAGAGGAUAACUAUUUUAUAGUUUUUGAUUAGUUUUUCAUGUAGAAGUGUAUUUGUUUCAUUGAUUUUCUUCUAUUUAAUCUCAAGCAUUGUUACGGAUAGUAAUUGCGCAAAUUAGAUCAAUUUUAGUCAAUCAUAUUGUGUCAAGAUAACAAACGGUUCAAGAUCCAAUUCAAACUGAAUUAAUUGAAUCAAUAUGAAUUGAGCCAAAAAGGAGCAGAUAACGAGUCUAGAUCCAACUCAACUCAAUUUUCACCUUGUUUAAUUAAUUUAUUUGUCCUUUUAAAUUAUUUUAGUACAGUAUAACAUUAGGAUAAAAUUAUUUUAUGGAUAUAUGUAAAGAAUUAUACUUCAGAACCUCCUGCUUUUUCAUUAGGGACGACAAUGGGGCGGUGUAGGGCGGGGGUGGUGCGGGUUGAGCUUAACUCACAAUCUUAUUAAUCUGCCCCGCCCCGCAUAGCAAAAAUAUUCAUUUUCAACCCUCCAUGCACCACCCUACCCCACAUAGACUUGUCCCACGUGAACUCGCCCUGCAUUAGUUUUAAAAUAUUUUCUUUUUUCUUAGUUAUGUUUCAUACUAAAAAUAAAAUUCCUUAAAAAAUUCAUUUUUUCCUUAAGUUGUAUUAAUUUAAUAGGAUAGUGACUUUAAAUUUUAUUUUUUAGAGGUCAAUUGUGAAUCAUGUAAGAAAUUGUAUUAUUUUUUAUGAACCAUCUUCAUUUAUAAUAUCGAAUAUUUCAGUAGAUUUAAUGAAUUUAUCUUAAUAAAUAAUGUUCUGUCAUUCUAUGACAUGUAAGAAGUUAAAAUUAAGUUUGAACCCACAUAAAAUCACACAUACCCGCAGCUCAUAUUGACCCACAUUAAUUAAAAAGAAAUCCACUUCAACCCACCCCGCUUCAGACCCGCCCUACAUAACCUUAAGCCCGCCCCGCCACACAUACCCUUAAACCUAUCCUGCCCCACAUCCGGUUCACCUUAUUGCCAUUCUUAUUUUUCAUGGUCGUCUAAAAACAAUGGUAAUCAAAGUAGUGAAUAUAAAUGCCUUACAAUGUACAAAACUAUUUAUGUUGAGAAAUUUAAAAUUUAUAUAUAAACAAACAAAAAACACUCUUAUAUAUCAUAUGAAAAAAUUUUCAAGAAAAUUUAAAUUAAUAUACCUUCGCCCCUUCUAGAUUCGCCCUUUCAUAAAAGUGGAUAAAAUUCAGGAAUUUUGUGUAAAUAAUACUGAACAGAUGAUAUCUCUUGGUAUUUUCUAUAUCUCUUAUAUAUAAAAAUGACGAUUAUUUUAUAAAAUAAGAUCACAAAAUCUGAAAAUUGAAUUAGUAACUGAUCUAUAAAAUGAAGUUUAACUAUUUUGAUGUGUUAAACGUCACAUGCAAAAAAUAUUAAGUGGACUGAUUUGGGCAUAUCACAUAAAUUUUAAUCUCUUUUCCCAUUAAUUUAUGUGAUAUUUGCUUCUUUUUUAAUGUUAUUUCCAAAAGAAUGUCUUUUCAUAGUCCUAUAUUUAGUGUCCCCUUUAUUAUAGACAAUUAUUUCAAUCAUUUGAAUCUCAUUUAUUCCUCAAAAUUAUUACUCUUUUAAUUUUGUAAAUUAAUCAAGUUUGAAAAACUUCAGAAAAAAAUUCAAUAAGAUCAAAUUAAUGAUAUUUAUGAAAUUUAAAAUGAGAAAAUAAAUAACUAAACUAAAAUAAAAAAUACAUAAUUUAUCUCUACAUAUUUAGUAAAUUUAUAAUCACAUUAAUCUAUAAGAUUUCUAUUACAUGUAACAUUCCAAUUUUCUAUUUAUUUUUAAUUUUUUUAAUGUCGAAUUAAAUUGUAUCACGUAAUUUGAUACGGACAAGACAAUACAACUAAGGAACCAACAUAAUUAAUUGACCCCACCACCCACCCCAAUCACCCCACUCCAUAUUACAAUUCUGUAAAAUAUAAUUUAAGAAGAAAACCUAUCUUCCCCUUUCCUUCUUUAGUUCGCUCUUUCACUCCGCGGUGAUGAAAUUGAAGACUUCAAAAUCAUAAAAAUUUGUGUUCAGUAGUUGAAGGAUAACGUGUGCGCAAUAUGGUAUUUGAUACUUUUCUAACUUUUUUUGGAUUUUUACAGUAGUAAUUUUAGUUGUUGAUAAGCUUAAAAUUUUCUUUCCCUUUUUGUUUAAAAGUCAAAUCUUUCUCAUUUGGGUGUUGUUAAUUUUGUGAAAUAGAUGCCCGAUCUUCCACUUUGUACUUUGUUUUGUGGUAGAUGUUAGUUUUCUUGGGAUUUUGAAACGUAGAAAGAACCCUAUUUUACUUUUUAUUUAUUUAUUUUUGUUUUUUAGAUGUUGGUUUUACUGCAUAAUAUUUCUUUUAUGUCGAGGGUCUAUCAAAAAUCAACUCUGAAACACCACAAACAAAGUAAGGAGUAAACUGUUUUGUCCAUGUUAUCCUUUCUAGAACUUUGGAAACAUAACUUUCUGUCUGGCUAAGAAACUAGUCCAAGUUAUACCAAUAUGUAUAUAUAUUGGACAUUAUCCUUCCUCUCCUAUGAAGAAGAAACUCCAGAAGCAUCACCCAAUUUGGAAUUCAUGAGUUGAUAUUUAUUUAAAAGUUGUGAUAUAUGUUGAAUUUCCCUAGGAGAGGUUUAAACAUUGAGUGGAAACUUACUUUCUGUCUGGUUAGUAGAGAUUUCUUGCUUGUUAAGAGAUUAGUCAAAGUAAGAACGAGAAGUAUGUUGGAAAUGUUCCUUUCUUAAUAAGAUUCAUCAUCCAAUUUGGGAUUCUUGAGUUGAUGUAAAUUUCGAAGUUAUGUUAUGUGUUAAAUUCUCCUAGGCAAUCUUGAAGUAUUGAAUGGAAACUUACUUUUUGUAUGGUUUGUACGAAUUUCUUGUUUGCAAAGGGAUUUGUCUAAGUUAGACCGACAAGUAUAUAUAUGUUGGACAUGUUCUUUGAGUUUCAUCUUCACAGAUGAGGAAUGAUAAUGUAACAUAUAUACUUGUCCAUUUAACUAAGACUAAUCCCUUAAGAGAACAAAAUUUCUACUAACUAUACAAAAAUUAAGUUUCCAUUCAAUACUUUACGAUCGCCAAAAGAAUUCAACACACCACAUAACUUCGAUAUAAACAUCAACUCACCAAUCCCUAAUUGGGUGAUUCUUCUCGAGUUUCUUCUUCACAAAUCACGGAGCAUCAUGUCUAACAUAUAUACUUCUCGGUCUAACUUGGACUAAUUCCUUAGCAGACAAGAAAUUUCUACUAGCAAGAAAGAAUGUAAGUUUCCACUCAUUGUGUCAAGCUCACCCAAGGAAAUUUAACACACAACAUAACUUUCAAAUAAACAUGAAUCAAGAAUCCCAAAUUGUGUGAUGAUUCUUCGAGUUUUGUCAUCAUAGAAAGGAAUGAGUAUGUCCAUCAUAUUUCUCAGUAUAACUUGGAUUUAUUCUUUAAUAAGCAAGAAAUUACUAAGAGUAAGUUGCAUUUCACUCUCUUCUAAUAGUACAUCAUAAAAUUUAACAAUCCUCAGGCGAUUAAAUGUGAUAUUCGAGAAUCUUGCAUGAAUCUCAUCAAUAAAAUCACAGGGCACAAGUUCGAAAUAAUCCCCAUCACUAAGGAUACAUAAUCAUUCUUCAUAUAGCAUAAAUGUUUGGGGUCAUAUAUUCUGAAAAGGUUAACUGAUAUAGUAGUAUUUUUUGUACAAGUGUUAAAUCUAUAGUAAAACAUUUGUACUAAAAUUAAUACAAGUACUAUUUUUAUAUAUACUACCAAAUUACUCCUUUAGUGUUGAAAGAAGUGUCAAGUAUUAUCUAUUGAUUUAUAAUGUUGCAUAAACACAUGUCAUUCAUGUAGUGUUUUUAUGUAAACACUCACUACUAUAAAUUUGUAGUACAAUAAGUAUCGCAUCACUAAAUUGAACUGCUAGGUUCUCUUCAAUUUCUAUACAAAAAUAUUUUAUAUGUGUUUACUUUAACCUAAUCAAAACAAUUUUACAUCAAAAGUUUCAAACUAAAGAAAUCAAUUCAAGUGUCAUCUACGAAUUAUACACCUUUUCUUUUAUUUUUAAAGUUGUGACAUGUUUGUUUGUUGUUCGUGUAGCAUAUAUUCUGUCCUUAAAAAUCGUAUUCUUUUUUAAUUUCUACAAAUUAUCAUUCCUCCGGAUGAACAAAGACUAUGUUUACCUUCUCCUGAUCGACUUAGCAAUCUUGCCAUUCAUUUAAUUGUUGACAUUUUAAAUAGGUUGUCUUUUCAAGAUAUAUAAGAACUAGUACACUUUCUAAGGAAUGGCAAAAUAUUUGCCAAAAAAUUAACAGGUUAAUUUUGAUCAAAAGUUUUGGGAAACACCAGAGGACUUGACAUCCCAUACCAUUUGAUUUAUUCCUAUUCUUGAUUGUUUCCUCUAGUUUCAUAUGUGAAUAACAUAGAAAGUUAUCCUAGACUUUACUAGUCUAAAAGUAUGUCCUAAAUAAAAAACUUUGACCUAACUUGGACUAAUCCCUUGACAGGAAAGAAGUUCCUACUAACAAAAAAGUAAGUUUCCCUGAGAGAAUUCAAUAAAUAACAUAACUUUGCAAUAAACAACCAAAGACUCAAAUCAUAUAUCAUUUAAGAGCAUCCAUGAAAUGUAAAACCCAUCUCUGUUGACAAACUGAGUAUUCAAAACUUUUACAAUUCUAUGUUUCCAUGAAGAUAAAAUAUUUAUAGUACCUUAAAGUAAAGGCAAAAAACAGCCUUACUACUCAUCCACCAAACGUCUCAUUUUUGUAUAUACUUCCAAAACAUUUUAGCCAAAGAUUAAGAAGGAUUGUGAUAACGAUACUAAUCAACAAGAUACACAACUUCUGCUUUAGAUGAUGCCCAUUGAGACUUUGUUAUCUCCAUGAAUACAUUGAGAGAUUCAUUAGUUUCCAUUUGACGAGGCUUGAUUACCAUUUUCACCAGUGCUGGAGACUUUGCCAAUUAAACUUUGAUAAGCUGCAUUUCAACCUCUUCUAAUAGUACAUCAUAAAUCUUAACUGUUCUUAGAUGAUUAAAUGUUAUAUCCGAAAAGCUUGAAGGAAUCUCAUCAACAACUUGUUGGUUCACACAUUCGAAAUAAUAUCCAUCACUAAGGAUACAUUCCUAAGAAAAAUCAAGAAAAAAACCAUCAAAUCAUUACACACGAAUAUAAAAACAUGGAAAAGAUAGAGAGAAAAAUAAGCAUUACUGACGACCUUAAUUUCAAUUUCUUCCAAAUUUGGGGAACUUCGUACAUUGCAAGUAAUAAACGAAAGCUAAAAAACUCUCCAAGAGUAGUCCAACAUAUGUAAAGGUAUUUCAGACAGUUAAGACCUGAUAGAAGCCUUUUUGGUAUAAGUUCAGUUGAUACAUUAUCCAACUACAUAUAAAAUGACAAAAUCAGGAUUACUCAAAGUCAAAAUAAAAGUACACAUAAAAAUGCAUUACCAUUAAGUUAAAUGAAGGAACAUUACCCCAAAAAGAUCCCAGCUGAAAGACUCAAGAGCAGGGAUAGAGGAAAAAAUACUGAGAAAAUCAUCUUCAUCCUCUAGAACAAAUUCUCUAGGCGCAUACAAAACAUUGGGAAUAACAGGAAUAUUUUCAAGAUAUAUCAAUUGUAUAUCGCAAGAAAAGACAAAUGACCUUAGAUUAAGAGCAGUAAUACUUAUGAGGUACAGAUUGUCUGUCUUUUAGCACCAAAUCCUCAAGAAACGGGUUAUUAGAGAUCAAACUUUCAAACGUAUUAGUAGAUAAUGUGACAUAUUUAAAUUUUACCCUAAUCAACAUACUAAAUCCCUAAAAGAAACAUGGAAGUUGUAUUUUAGAUUCCAUGAAAUACAAAUGCCACAAUGCUGAACAAUAGAAAAAGAAGUUGGGCAACCUAUAUAGAGGAUAAAUAAAUGGAAGUUUAAGGACAAAAUGUUGAAUGUGAUCAACAUUAGGACACACUAUUAUACUAAUAAUAUUGAAGGUGACCUUCAGUAUUAUUCUUCUAUGAAACCUGAGGAAACUAUCAAGAAUCGGAAUAAAUGCAAUGGUAGGGGAUGUCAAGUCCUCGGGUGUUUUCCACACUAUUUGAUCAAACUUCAGAUGUGGAAUUCUCCAGCAAAUAUAUUGUCAGUCCUUCAAAAGUGUAGUAACUCUUACAACAUCUCGAAAAGACAACCUACUUAGAAUCUCUUCGAUUAAAUGAAUGUUAAGGUUCUUAAGUCGAUCAGGAGAAGGUAAACUAAGACAUUGUUCAUCCGGAGGAAUGAUAAUCUGUAGAAAAUAAAUAAAAGUAAGAUAGGUAAGUUCAAUGUACACUCUACACGAACAACAAAUAAACAUAUCAUAACUCUAAGAUUAAAAGAAAAGGUGCAUAAUAGGAGGCAAAUGUAACCUUUUUCCAUGUUUAAAAAAUGCAAAAGAAAUUAUUAGUAGCUGACAUUUGCAUUGAUAUAUUUAAUCUGCAACUCUUGAUAUAAAUUUGUUUGGCUUAGGUUAAAUCAAACACAUAUCAAGUAUUUGUGUAUAGAAUUUGAAAAAAAAAACUUAGACGUUUAAAUUAGUGAUUUUAUACUUAUUGUACUAGAAAUUUAUAGUAUUGAGUGCUAAAAUCAAAAUACUAUAGGAAUGGCAUGUGUUUGUUUGACCGUAUAUUUAACUCUGGUACAACUAAUACUAGUAUUACAAUUAACUUCUUUUGGGAUAUAUGACCCUGAACACUUGAUCUACAUGAAGCAUAAAAUAUUAUUUUAGUGAACUACACACUUAAUUUCAAUAUUUUGGUGAAACAUAAUAAAAAACACAUUCUGAAAUUUUAAUUUUUGUAUAAGCUAUUAAUAAGAACACAAAAAUCAUGAGAAAUGGUAUUAUUUUGUAAAACCUAAAACCAUCAAGACUUGAAUGAUAAAUCAGAUUCCUAUAAAUUUAAAACAAAAUAUUGAUAGGUGAAAAAGGUGAUAUUCGUUAUCCAAGACUAAGCCAUAAGUCCAUAUGCCUUUAGCCUAUAUUUUCUCAAGAAAACAUAAUUAGAAUUACACAAAUAUUUUACUUUUUCUUAAUAGUUUAAUUUUUUUUAAAAAAAACUACAAAUCUUAGGAGGAAACAAGAAAUAACUAAUUUUGUUGCUGCCAUUACACAAUGAAUUUAGGUACACCCAUCAUCAUAGUAUACUAUUGUUCUUUUUUUAAAAAAAAAAUACUUUUAUUAUUAUUGUUUUACUUAGGUUUAUUCAUAGGAUUGCUCUAUGCCUUUAAAGAUUAGGCAUAUGUCUUAGGCUCCAAAAAAUUUAAAGGCCUAAUGUUUUAGUAACAAUAAAAUUAUCGUAAGCUUUUUGUAGCAAAAAAAUGAAUGUUUUAAUUUGUAUGGAACUCUUUUAUAUUGAUCAAUUUUAAAUUUAACCUCCACAUGAUAUGUUUAAGACCACAAGAUUAAAAAAAAUUGGUAUAUAUAUAACUUUAGUUUAAUAUAAUAAAAAUAAAACUAUUUUUAUUAAAAAGAAAGAAAUAACUGGAAUUUCACAUAAAAAUAAAAAAUUGUAAAAAUUCGUCCUCAAACUUAUUUUUAGCUUUAGGACACUAUCUAGCUUAAGCCAUCACUAAGUUUUUUUUUUUAUCAAUUAUGUGUACUAACUGUUGAAGGAAACUUGACGAGUGAUGGGACACGUCGAAGGAACAGGUCCAUCGAAGUAGACUGAUGAGUUAGAGUUAGACUCCUACUAGGAUUAGACUACUAAAUCUUAAGUUACGUACGACUAAGCUAUUGAAUAUUAUAGGAGUCAACAAGGAUAAUGUAUUUGACUUGUAAUACAAUACUACUCAUGUAAUUAUUUGUAUUGUAGUAGGAUUCCUAGUAUAACUAGAAUAGGACUCUUCGCCUAUAUAAGGAGAUUUUAACUCAACAUUAUAAUAAUCAAUACAUCCUUGAUUUCUACACACUUUCGUGAGAUUUAUAAGUUGUAUCUGACAAAUAAAGUUUUUUCUGCUAUUUAACGUAUUAGAUCAAAAUAAACUUAAGACAAUGAAUUAUCUUAUAUGGAGGACACAAAUGACUUAGUUGAUUCAAGUGAUGAGAUUAACCUAAAUUAUCACAGAACCAAGUUGAGCGACCUGUUUCAAUGGACAGACUACUGAGAAAAGUGUAAUAGGCGAAAGGGUGCAGAAGACAACAACACUGUUGAUGAUUGGGAGGAUAAGGAUAUGUUACGAAGGAGUUGGAUAUAGGGCACCUUGACAGAAGAAAGCAUGUACCUGAUUGUAGUCUACUCAACUGCCACGGAGAUGUGGGAAUUCUUGGGAGAAAAAUAUUUUCAAGCAACUAAAGAUAAGAAGUUCCAAAUAAAGUAACAACUACAAAGUGUGUGUAACGACCUGUUUAGUCGUUUUGAGCAGCAGAUUUUAUUUCUGGAAAAAUUGGCUAAGACGACAGAUCCCACGACGGACCGUUAUGGGCAUGACGGACCGUCACAGUCUGCGUAACCUUGACUGGGUCGGAUUUCAGUUUAAUAUUUUAAGGGGCGUUUUGGACUAUUCCUGCUUAUAAUUAUAAAGUUAGUGGUUGAAUAUUAAUAAUCCAAUUUCUUGAGGGUUAAAGGAGAUAACCUUGAAUUAAUUAGUGGGUUACUUUUGUCAUCUUUUAUACUUAAUUAUAUGCUAAUUAGGGUAAAAGAAAAAGGGUUGAAUAAGAAAUAUAGAAAGAACAGAGAGAGAAAGGGAGAAACGAUCGAUUGAGAGAGGGACAAGAAGAAAGCAAAGAUUUUGAGGAUUAGCUUUCUUGAUCACAAUUCUUCGGUGGAGCUAGGUUAUGGUUUUUAUGUUAUUCAUAGUAAAAUUUUAAUAGCGAAUGAUAUGUGUUGGGUAGAAUUGUAAAGUCUUCUAUAUGCUUAAUUGUGUGCUUGCAUGAUGUAAUUAUGUAAUUGUAAUGGGUUGGAAAGAUAAGGUUGUGAACCUUAAAUCUAAAACUCUGUCUGUUAAUGAUGAUGCCUUGAUAUAAAAGAAGGCUCGAUAAACAAAAAGAAUGAGGUUAGGGGAUCGGGUGUCACGAACCGACACGUAGUAAUAGGGGGAUCGGGUGUCACAAACCGACACGUUGUAAUAGGGGAUCGGGUGUCACGAACCGGCACGUAGUAAUAGGGGAUAGGGUGUCAUGAACCGACAGUGUAGUAAUAGGGGGAUCGGGUGUCACGAACCGACACGUAGUAUUAGGGGGAUCGAGUGUCACGAACCGACACGUAGUAUUAGGGGAUCGGAGUGUCACGUUCCGACAAAAGAGGAAUAAAGAGAGUGAAUCUUGAAUUAUUGUAAUAUACUCAAAUUUAAUGAACCUAUUUCCCCAAAGGAGUAUGGUAUGGAGGCUUGCUUCCUCAUGGGUGUACUUGACGUACUUAUUAAUGAUUAUAGUACUUGUUGUUGCUACUUGUUGAGUAUUGUAGUUGAUUUUAUGAUAUUAUCUGAUAUAUACUGUUUUCUAUCUUGAUUUUACCGAUGAUACUUACUCAGUACCUGUGUUAUGUACUGACCCCUACUUGUAUGUAUUCUUUUUAUUAUUUGUGGAGUGCAGUAAACGUACCGUCAUCUUCAACUCAACUGCAACUCUAGCAAGUCUUCGUCACACCAGAUUUCAGGGUGAGCUAAAGCUUCUAGCUUGGACUGGAUCUUCUUCUUCAUGUCCGGAUGCCUUCAAGUUCUGGCAUAGACUAGCUGUUAUUUAUGUUUAGUUUCUUAGAUACUCUUAGAUUUAGAAAUUUGAGAAUAGAUGUUCUUGUGAUGAUGACUUCCAGAUUUUGGGGAUAAUGAUGAGUUUGAGUUUUAGAAGUUGAUUAUUGUUUUUGUUAAUGAGUUUUAAGUCUUCCG
RNAcentral lists this long non-coding RNA (14570 nucleotides) under Solanum lycopersicum (tomato). RNAcentral's name for it is "long non-coding RNA (SLYC_LNC000046)". The record is from RNAcentral. Lineage: Eukaryota; Viridiplantae; Streptophyta; Magnoliopsida; Solanales; Solanaceae.